RNAcentral lists this ribosomal RNA (375 nucleotides) under uncultured bacterium. RNAcentral's name for it is "bacterial SSU rRNA". It matches the Rfam family "Bacterial small subunit ribosomal RNA", at positions 524 to 898 of the family's 1533-position model. The record is from RNAcentral.
GACGAACCGUGCGAACGUUGUUCGGAAUCACUGGGCUUAAAGGGCGCGUAGGCGGUUGAUCAAGUCUGGGGUGAAAUCUUUCGGCUUAACCGGAAAAGUGCCUUGGAUACUGGUCAGCUGGAGGGAGGUAGGGGCAGUUGGAACUUCCAGUGGAGCGGUGAAAUGCGUUGAUAUUGGAAGGAACGCCGGUGGCGAAAGCGAGCUGCUGGACCUCUUCUGACGCUGAUGCGCGAAAGCUAGGGGAGCAAACGGGAUUAGAUACCCCGGUAGUCCUAGCCCUAAACGUUGGGUACUAGGUAGUGGACUUAACAUGGGUUCACUGCCGAAGCAAAAGUGUUAAGUACCCCGCCUGGGGAGUAUGGUCGCAAGGCUGAA